Molecule: long non-coding RNA, 347 nt
Organism: Macrobrachium nipponense
Lineage: Eukaryota; Metazoa; Arthropoda; Malacostraca; Decapoda; Palaemonidae
Exons: 3
Source: RefSeq, a predicted model, not a curated record
CGAAGAAACAUUUGUGAAGCUGAAUGAACCUUUUAGCUCGCGUUGGAGAAGGUCUUGCAGACGAUCGCAUUCCAUCACAGGAGCAAGAGUGCAUGGUUGUUGCUGGGUUGAACUUGCUCAGAUUGCAGUUACAUUCAGCAGUACAGAAUCACACAGAUGUGGAAAGUAUAGGACUUCGGGUGGGUUCUUUUCUCCUAGGAAGCUUGAAGCAACGAGUUGUCAAUCUUGCAAGCAGUUCUGGAGUUUUGCCUACAAUUCAGGGAGCUGCCCAAGCAACAUUACAGACAGGCUGGUCUAUUUUGCUGCCAACAGCAGAGGAACGGGCCAAAGCGCUGUCUCUCUUCCUU